This 71-nucleotide transfer RNA is filed under the name Acanthamoeba castellanii str. Neff. It matches the Rfam family "tRNA". From Rfam's summary of the family: Transfer RNA (tRNA) molecules are approximately 80 nucleotides in length. Their secondary structure includes four short double-helical elements and three loops (D, anti-codon, and T loops). Further hydrogen bonds mediate the characteristic L-shaped molecular structure. tRNAs have two regions of fundamental functional importance: the anti-codon, which is responsible for specific mRNA codon recognition, and the 3' end, to which the tRNAs corresponding amino acid is attached (by aminoacyl-tRNA synthetases). tRNAs cope with the degeneracy of the genetic code in two manners: having more than one tRNA (with a specific anti-codon) for a particular amino acid; and 'wobble' base-pairing, i.e. permitting non-standard base-pairing at the 3rd anti-codon position. Lineage: Eukaryota; Discosea; Longamoebia; Acanthamoebidae. The record is from Rfam by way of RNAcentral.
GGGGUGGUAGUGCAGUGGCAGCAUUCCUGGUUAGUGUGCCGGAGACCUGAGUUCGAUUCUUAGUCAUCCCU